Cercocebus atys (sooty mangabey) is the source of this 2985-nucleotide long non-coding RNA. RefSeq lists it as uncharacterized. The transcript is spliced from 3 exons. Lineage: Eukaryota; Metazoa; Chordata; Mammalia; Primates; Cercopithecidae. The record is from RefSeq and is a predicted model, not a curated record.
CUGCCUAGGUACACAUAAAGUGGAGUCGUCUUUUCUGCACAGAGUGUGCACUAUCAACGUAACAGCAGAGAUGGAGAGCAAGAAGUGAGGAGGUUAAAAGUCAGGGUCAGAAGUUCAGGUUGCUCUGACCCUCAAAUCAAUUUCAAGCACUGUUUGUGACAUUUUUCUGUGUUCCCUCGCUUGAUGUUAGUCUUUGCAAUGAACCACCGAAUCAGACUUCAGGGAUCAUGGGACCUUGGGGUUUCAGUGGGGUCAGGUCAAUUUCUACCUACCAGUGUACUGCCACCUAUGAAGCAAACCAUUAUCUAGGCGUCUGAGAACCUCAAAGUCGUGAAACUCCGAGGGGAGAGAGAGAGGAUGAAGUUGCUGUGGCCCCUGUGUCUUUGGGUCCUGCCAUAGCUCAACCUGUGGCUUUAGGGGGACUGUGUGCAGGCAGGUCAUAGUGUUACCAGAAAGGGAUCCUGAUCCAGACCCCAAGAGAGGGUUCUUGGACUUUGUGCAAGAAAAAUUCGGGCUGAUGGCACUAGAACUGAACUCAGAAGCUGCAGCAGUGGAUGGAUGAUGAUCUGAAGAAAUGAGAUCCCUGAUGAGCUGGGAGUCAGGGUUCCUGUAACCAUGAUGUCACACCCUCAUCCUGACACCAAGAUGGGCAGGACCCAUCUGUCACCCAAGGCAAACAAAAUGCUUGGUCUGAAUCUUUCAGAAGAAAACUAAAAAUCGAGUCAUUGCUCAGAAUUUUGCUUGUGUGUGGCUUAAGUCUUCUUCUCCUGUUGAGGAAGGUGUUGAGUUUGACCAUGACAGCCCCACCCAAUCCUCGGCUCAUCCCAGCCACCAGAGAGGAUCUGGAGAUUCGAGGCUAUGUCAUGGAAGACCUUGUCAGAGCACCAGGUCAUACUGUGCUGCAGGUGGGGUUCGGGUGCCCAGUGACAACCACCGGGAACACUCAUCCCUAAAAGUCUGUUGAACUUAAAGUUCUAUGCAAGGCUUUCUACAUUAAAUACCCUUUCAUAUAGCAAAAUCAGCCAUGUUCUGAGAUGUGAAACUGCAGCACAAAUUACUGUGGUCUCCACCUAUAGAAAUGGAAUGUUACUUCAUAAAGCCCCAGGCCAAAAAAGAAACCCCCAAACUCUGAAAUGACACCCUUAAAUUUAACCCGAACAUCUGGCCAGCCUCCUCCAUCAUUGAAACUUCUCCUGAGUGUUGGCAUGGAUCCUAUGUUUCUCCAGCCAGGGAGCUUUGCUCCCCAUUCUUGAUGGACCCACUGAGUCCCAAUUUUCUACAUUUUACUUGGGUCACUCCUCCACUUUGGGAUGCUUUUCUUACUUUGUUGUACUUUAAAAAUGUUUCUUCUCUCCUGCACUCAGCUUCGCGCAUUUGUCUUCUUUCUUGAUUUAACUUGCUUAGCUCUCGCUACAUCAAUUCCUAGAGCCAUUCAUCUGUACUUCUGAAUCAUUUAAGUUUUGUUUCGUUGCAAGUAAUGGAAACCCACUCUGAGUAACUCAAGCAAGAACUGGAAUUUAUUGGAAGGACAGUGGGAUAUAUCAUAAGAUCCAAAAAGAAUUGAACAAACAGAAUUUCAGAGGGAAGAAAAAGGGCAGCUCCAGUGAGUUCAGCAACAAGACAACAUAAAUCUUUCUAAAGCAUAGCUACUAAUAUUAUUCAGCUGCAAGAGCCCCUACCCCAUGAGAAACUUGAUUGAAAAUUCUGAUUUCCUGCAGAGAAGAAUCUGAUUGACCCAGUUUAGUUUUGGUUGCCCAAUUGCUCAAUCUUACAUGAAUUAUUUCCAGCCAAGGGGACAGGGUGUAUUAUAGGGACAUACCUGCUUUCUCCAAAGAAAAGAUCUCGGCAUUUCCUGAUCAUUUCCCUGAGAAGGAGGAAUCUUUGUGAGCCAAGAAUAUACCUCAAGUAUAAUGAACUCAGUUACACUUUUUUGAAAUCUGAGUAUUUGGUAUGUAGUGUGCAUUUUAAAAAAACAUGUCUCUUUCCAGGAUACAAUCUUAACCUCUUCCAUGGUGGAGUAGGGCUAUGUGAUUUUGUGCUCAAUUUACCUAGCUGGUGGGCCUCCAGUAGAGGCUGAACCAGUCAAACCAGCUGAUACCACAUUAAUUUUCCAAAGAAACAAAAGCUGCCCUUCCUUCCUUAUUUCAAAGUUUGACAGAAAGCAAAAGGUGAAGAAUAAAAGCGCCUUGCAUUGUCUAACAUCUACCGCAGUGUUUGAGCUGCAGCUGCUCCUCCUCCCGUGAUUGUUUUCAAAUAUUUCCUCAAAAAAGGCAUUAAAGAAAAACACAAGAUAUUACACGGGGAACCAAAACAAAUCACAAUCUUCAAGGACAAAGCAUUGCAAAAUGGCUUACAUCCCCAAAUGGGAACAGAUAUGGCUGGAAAUUAAAACAAUCUUUUUUAUUUUAAGUGGAAAUGCUAGCAGAUGCCACAAGAAACAUAUGGAACUCACCACAGACAAAUAGGGAACGCUUUCUACGUGUGGAAGUAGAGCAAAGGGAGUGACCACCUCUGACUGUCAGGGGAACCAUCAGCUCGAACUGUUUGCUAUGGCAGGAGGGAGUUUGCAGAGUCUGGGGUCCUGCCCUCAUGGAAAAGCUUUAACGAUCUUGACUGCGUAAUUUAAGUCAUUCUUGUCAGGGAGUUUCAGAACACUAUUCACAAUUAUAUUUAUUUCAAAAUGCAUUGAUCCCAGAUAUCUUUUUAAAUGUGCUCACCACUGAAUUUGUGCAUUGUUACAUAUUCCCUCUUUGAACCUCUGAAUGAAACAAAAUAAAUAGGAAAAAAUGGAGACAUAGAAGCACUGUCCACAAGGCAUCUCCCACUCUAGAGGUCUCCCAGCCCCAUGCUAGCUUGUUAAUUUUUUGUUAUAGCUUGUCUGUCAAACAAGGAAGAUAUAAUUCUCCACACAACAUAUUUUUCUAAAGCAAUGUUUUUGUACAAUUUCCUGAUUUCCAAAAAUAUGACCAACAGUAUUCUGGUUGA